This 72-nucleotide transfer RNA is filed under the name Xiphophorus maculatus (southern platyfish). It matches the Rfam family "tRNA". Rfam says of the family: Transfer RNA (tRNA) molecules are approximately 80 nucleotides in length. Lineage: Eukaryota; Metazoa; Chordata; Actinopteri; Cyprinodontiformes; Poeciliidae. The record is from Rfam by way of RNAcentral.
UCCUCAUUAGUACAGUGGUGAGUAUCCCCGCCUGCCACGCGGGAGACCAGGGUUCGAUUCCCCGAUGAAGUU